RNAcentral lists this ribosomal RNA (492 nucleotides) under uncultured bacterium. RNAcentral's name for it is "partial 16S ribosomal RNA". It matches the Rfam family "Bacterial small subunit ribosomal RNA", at positions 29 to 507 of the family's 1533-position model. The record is from RNAcentral.
AGUGAACGCUGGCGGUAGGCCUAACACAUGCAAGUCGAACGGCAGCACAGUAAGAGCUUGCUCUUACGGGUGGCGAGUGGCGGACGGGUGAGGAAUACAUCGGAAUCUACUUUUUCGUGGGGGAUAACGUAGGGAAACUUACGCUAAUACCACAUACGACCUACGGGUGAAAGCAGGGAAUCUUCGGACCUUGCGCGAUUGAAUGAGCCGAUGUCGGAUUAGCUAGUUGGCGGGGUAAAGGCCCACCAAGGCGACGAUCCGUAGCUGGUCUGAGAGGAUGAUCAGCCACACUGGAACUGAGACACGGUCCAGACUCCUACGGGAGGCAGCAGUGGGGAAUAUUGGACAAUGGGCGCAAGCCUGAUCCAGCCAUACCACGUGGGUGAAGAAGGCCUUCGGGUUGUAAAGCCCUUUUGUUGGGAAAGAAAAGCAGCAGGUUAAUACCCCGCUGUUCUGACGGUACCCAAAGAAUAAGCACCGGCUAACUUCGUG